UAUCUAUCUACAACUCUGUUCCGCAGAGUAGCUGUUGACAUUAUAGUUGCGCAGGCACUUUGUUGACUCUAGAGAACCUCGGGCCAAUCGCACAUCCCCGUGACGGCGACUUGCAGAUGUCAUCCAUAUAAACUUUCGAUGCCAGUUUCUGCGCCUACCAUGGUGACCACGGGUAACAGGGAAUCAGGGUUCCAUUCCAUACAGGGACCCUGAGAAAUGCCUACCACAUGCAAGGAAGGCA
Molecule: non-coding RNA, 241 nt
Organism: Pelobates cultripes (western spadefoot toad)
Lineage: Eukaryota; Metazoa; Chordata; Amphibia; Anura; Pelobatidae
Source: the annotation of a GenBank genome assembly